RNAcentral lists this ribosomal RNA (510 nucleotides) under uncultured bacterium. RNAcentral's name for it is "partial 16S ribosomal RNA". It matches the Rfam family "Bacterial small subunit ribosomal RNA", at positions 28 to 507 of the family's 1533-position model. The record is from RNAcentral.
GACGAACGCUGGCGGCGUGCUUAACACAUGCAAGUCGAACGAAGAGCGAUGGAAGCUUGCUUCUCUCAAUCUUAGUGGAGAACGGGUGAGUAACGCGUAAUCAACCUGCCCUUCAGAGGGGGACAACAGCUGGACACGACUGUUAAUACCGCAUACGAUCUAACCUCGGCAUCGAGGAUAGAUGUACGGUGGCCUCUCCACGUAAGCUAUCACUGUAGGAGGGGAUUGCGUCUGAUUAGCUAGUUGGCGGGGUAAAGGCCCACCAAGGCGAUGAUCAGUAGCCGGUCUGAGAGGAUGAGCGGCCACAUUGGGACUGAGACACGUCCCAGACUCCUACGGGAGGCAGCAGUGGGGAAUCGUCCGCAAUGGACGAAAGUCUGACGGAGCAACGCCGCGUGAGUGAUGACGGCCUUCGGGUUGUAAAGCUCUGUUAAACGGGACGAACGGCCUUCUUGCGAAUAGUUAUAAGGUUUGACGGUACCGGAAUAGAAAGCCACGGCUAACUACGUG